CCGGACCGGCGCACGGGUGAGUAACGCGUAUGCAACUUACCUAUCAGAGGGGGAUAACCCGGCGAAGUCGGACUAAUACCGCAUGAAGCAGGGGCCCCGCAUGGGGAUAUUUGCUAAAGAUUCAUCGCUGAUAGAUAGGCAUGCGUUCCAUUAGGCAGUUGGCGGGGUAACGGCCCACCAAACCGACGAUGGAUAGGGGUUCUGAGAGGAAGGUCCCCCACAUUGGAACUGAGACACGGUCCAA
RNAcentral lists this ribosomal RNA (244 nucleotides) under uncultured bacterium. RNAcentral describes it as "partial 16S ribosomal RNA". It matches the Rfam family "Bacterial small subunit ribosomal RNA", at positions 90 to 334 of the family's 1533-position model. The record is from RNAcentral.